AGUGAACGCUGGCGGUAGGCCUAACACAUGCAAGUCGAACGGCAGCACAGUAAGAGCUUGCCCUUACGGGUGGCGAGUGGCGGACGGGUGAGGAAUACAUCGGAAUCUACUUUUUCGUGGGGGAUAACGUAGGGAAACUUACGCUAAUACCGCAUACGACCUACGGGUGAAAGCAGGGGAUCUUCGGACCUUGCGCGAUUGAAUGAGCCGAUGUCGGAUUAGCUAGUUGGCGGGGUAAAGGCCCACCAAGGCGACGAUCCGUAGCUGGUCUGAGAGGAUGAUCAGCCACACUGGAACUGAGACACGGUCCAGACUCCUACGGGAGGCAGCAGUGGGGAAUAUUGGACAAUGGGCGCAAGCCUGAUCCAGCCAUACCGCGUGGGUGAAGAAGGCCUUCGGGUUGUAAAGCCCUUUUGCUGGGAAAGAAAAGCAGCAGGUUAAUACCCCGCUGUUCUGACGGUACCCAAAGAAUAAGCACCGGCUAACUUCGUG
This 492-nucleotide ribosomal RNA is filed under the name uncultured bacterium. RNAcentral describes it as "partial 16S ribosomal RNA". It matches the Rfam family "Bacterial small subunit ribosomal RNA", at positions 29 to 507 of the family's 1533-position model. The record is from RNAcentral.